CUACGGGAUGCAGCAGUGAGGAAUAUUGCACAAUGGGGGAAACCCUGAUGCAGCAACGCCGCGUGGAGGAUGACGCAUUUCGGUGUGUAAACUCCUUUUAUAUGUCAAGAAAAUGACGGUAGCAUAUGAAUAAGCACCGGCUAACUCCGUGCCAGCAGCCGCGGUAAUACGGAGGGUGCAAGCGUUAUUCGGAAUCACUGGGCGUAAAGGACGCGUAGGCGGGUUAUCAAGUCAGGUGUGAAAUCCUACAGCUUAACUGUAGAACUGCACUUGAAACUGGUAGCCUAGAGUAUGGGAGGGGCAGAUGGAAUUAGUGGUGUAGGGGUAAAAUCCGUAGAUAUCACUAGGAAUACCGAAAGCGAAGGCGAUCUGCUGGAACAUUACUGACGCUAAGGCGUGAAAGCGUGGGGAGCAAACAGGAUUAGAUACCCCAGUAGUC
RNAcentral lists this ribosomal RNA (439 nucleotides) under uncultured bacterium. RNAcentral's name for it is "partial 16S ribosomal RNA". It matches the Rfam family "Bacterial small subunit ribosomal RNA", at positions 339 to 795 of the family's 1533-position model. The record is from RNAcentral.